This 214-nucleotide unclassified non-coding RNA is filed under the name uncultured Dothideomycetes. RNAcentral describes it as "sequence contains ITS1". The record is from RNAcentral. Lineage: Eukaryota; Fungi; Ascomycota; Dothideomycetes.
AAGAAAAUCGUGCGAGGCGGCCCCGGGCAUCGCCAGGUGGCCGCUUAGACACUAAUACCCCCUGUAUAUAUACCAUGUUGCUUUGGUGGGACGGCAGCCAGCAGCCCCGCUGGGAACCUGUCCGCAGGGCCCCUCAAGGCCCCGUGAGCGCCCGCCAGAGGACCAUCAAACUCAUGUUAAACCGUGAUGUCUGAGCUUUACAAGCAAUAAGUUA